RNAcentral lists this ribosomal RNA (516 nucleotides) under uncultured beta proteobacterium. RNAcentral describes it as "bacterial SSU rRNA". It matches the Rfam family "Bacterial small subunit ribosomal RNA", at positions 9 to 519 of the family's 1533-position model. Lineage: Bacteria; Pseudomonadati; Pseudomonadota; Betaproteobacteria. The record is from RNAcentral.
GAGUUUGAUCUUGGCUCAGAUUGAACGCUGGCGGAAUGCUUUACACAUGCAAGUCGAACGGCAGCACGGGGGCAACCCUGGUGGCGAGUGGCGAACGGGUGAGUAAUACAUCGGAACGUGCCCAGUCGUGGGGGAUAACGUAGCGAAAGCUACGCUAAUACCGCAUACGAUCUCUGGAUGAAAGCGGGGGACCGCAAGGCCUCGCGCGAUUGGAGCGGCCGAUGGCAGAUUAGGUAGUUGGUGGGGUAAAGGCUCACCAAGCCGACGAUCUGUAGCUGGUCUGAGAGGACGACCAGCCACACUGGGACUGAGACACGGCCCAGACUCCUACGGGAGGCGGCAGUGGGGAAUUUUGGACAAUGGGCGCAAGCCUGAUCCAGCCAUUCCGCGUGCAGGAUGAAGGCCCUCGGGUUGUAAACUGCUUUUGUACGGAACGAAAAGGCUUUCUCUAAUACAGAGAGCUCAUGACGGUACCGUAAGAAUAAGCACCGGCUAAACUACGUGCCAGCAGCCGCC